This 813-nucleotide ribosomal RNA is filed under the name Alternaria alternata. RNAcentral describes it as "partial large subunit ribosomal RNA". It matches the Rfam family "Eukaryotic large subunit ribosomal RNA", at positions 104 to 936 of the family's 3401-position model. The record is from RNAcentral. Lineage: Eukaryota; Fungi; Ascomycota; Dothideomycetes; Pleosporales; Pleosporaceae.
CAGCUCAAAUUUGAAAUCUGGCUCUUUUAGAGUCCGAGUUGUAAUUUGCAGAGGGCGCUUUGGCUUUGGCAGCGGUCCAAGUUCCUUGGAACAGGACGUCACAGAGGGUGAGAAUCCCGUACGUGGUCGCUGGCUAUUGCCGUGUAAAGCCCCUUCGACGAGUCGAGUUGUUUGGGAAUGCAGCUCUAAAUGGGAGGUACAUUUCUUCUAAAGCUAAAUAUUGGCCAGAGACCGAUAGCGCACAAGUAGAGUGAUCGAAAGAUGAAAAGCACUUUGGAAAGAGAGUCAAACAGCACGUGAAAUUGUUGAAAGGGAAGCGCUUGCAGCCAGACUUGCUUACAGUUGCUCAUCCGGGUUUCUACCCGGUGCACUCUUCUGUAGGCAGGCCAGCAUCAGUUUGGGCGGUAGGAUAAAGGUCUCUGUCACGUACCUCCUUUCGGGGAGGCCUUAUAGGGGAGACGACAUACUACCAGCCUGGACUGAGGUCCGCGCAUCUGCUAGGAUGCUGGCGUAAUGGCUGUAAGCGGCCCGUCUUGAAACACGGACCAAGGAGUCUAACAUCUAUGCGAGUGUUUGGGUGUCAAGCCCGAGCGCGUAAUGAAAGUGAACGGAGGUGGGAACCCGCAAGGGUGCACCAUCGACCGAUCCUGAUGUCUUCGGAAGGAUUUGAGUAAGAGCAUGGCUGUUGGGACCCGAAAGAUGGUGAACUAUGCUUGAAUAGGGUGAAGCCAGAGGAAACUCUGGUGGAGGCUCGCAGCGGUUCUGACGUGCAAAUCGAUCGUCAAAUUUGGGCAUAGGGGCGAAAGACUAAUC